Molecule: non-coding RNA, 27 nt
Filed under: Rattus norvegicus (Norway rat)
Lineage: Eukaryota; Metazoa; Chordata; Mammalia; Rodentia; Muridae
Source: RNAcentral
UGAAAUGUUAACUAGUGAUUUUCCUUU